Long non-coding RNA from Xiphophorus couchianus (Monterrey platyfish), 786 nucleotides. RefSeq lists it as uncharacterized. The record is from RefSeq and is a predicted model, not a curated record. Lineage: Eukaryota; Metazoa; Chordata; Actinopteri; Cyprinodontiformes; Poeciliidae. The transcript has 4 exons.
UUGACAAAAAAAAGUAAGAAAACUUAUUUUCAUUUUAAAUAUGGAUGAAAUUGAGCUCAAAUUUCAAAAUUGUUCUUCCUUCUGUCCACAUAUGUUCUAUUUGUUAACCCUGUUGUCUUUUCUCUGGAUUUCAUUUCUACAUCAACUCAUGUCACAUGACAUGAGUUGACCAACAAUUAAAGCAGAAGACCAGCGCCGCCUGUAAUCCUCCACGGCCAGGUGGAGGAAGAUAAGAGAACCCAGUUGACAAAAAAAGUAAGAACAUUUAUAUCUACGCAACAUGACUAAUCAUUUCAAAUAUAGCUGCAGAGAGCUGAGCUGAAAGUUAGAAACUGUCGCUGUCUGCUGUCCAUGCAUAUUUUCCUCCCUAACUUUAUCUUCUCUCUUUAUUUCAUUUCUCUGUGAACUCAUGUGAUGACUGGAGUUGACCAACAAUUAAAGCAGAAGAAGACCUGCUCCACCUGCUGAUCUACUGGUUGUAACAGCUUGUGGGAAAGCAUCACUGGACCAAUCAGGAGAGAGAAGACGGAGAGGACUGAGGACUAAAACGAAAAUACUCUGCCUGCCAAAAAAGGCAGACGAUCCAAUGGCCCCAGGUUUACACACCAUCUGCUGGUUUGAGGCAGACUGACCGCUGGGGAGAUGGACCUCACCUGGCACCAUUACUCUGGAUGUAACAGGUAGCUCGACUCUCCUGUCCAUUAAAACAUCAAUGACUCGAGAAGCGGACAGCGAGGUUUCUGGUGCCUGGCUGGAGACGAGAUUCUGAUUAUUCAAGGGCCAAAA